RNAcentral lists this small nuclear RNA (301 nucleotides) under Zonotrichia albicollis (white-throated sparrow). Its description in RNAcentral is "7SK RNA (ENSZALG00000011004.1)". It matches the Rfam family "7SK RNA". From Rfam's summary of the family: 7SK was discovered as an abundant small nuclear RNA in the mid-70s but a possible function has only recently been suggested. Two independent studies have found that 7SK RNA binds the CDK9/cyclin T complex (known as elongation factor P-TEFb). Lineage: Eukaryota; Metazoa; Chordata; Aves; Passeriformes; Passerellidae. The record is from Rfam by way of RNAcentral.
GGAUGGUAACCUGGCUGUGGGAUCUGAUAUGCCACUGAUUUCACGGAUUGAUCUGACUGAUCUCCCUCUCCUCCUAACAUUCCAUAUAUGUUCCUCUUAAUGAUGCGUGCUUGAUUAACGAGUAGAGCCUCCCCAACAGACCAUUGUUCAUUGGUCAAAGGGGUGUGGUAGCUGUGCUCCACUGCUGGAAGCUCCAAGUAAGCUCAAAGUCCAUUUGUAGAUAAAUGUAGGGUAAUCAAGUGCCCAGUACUGAAGACACAUCCAAAUGAGAAGCUGCAUGCACCAGUUUGCCAGUGGCUUU